This 76-nucleotide transfer RNA is filed under the name Candidatus Cloacimonas sp. 4484_143. RNAcentral describes it as "tRNA-His". It matches the Rfam family "tRNA". Rfam says of the family: Transfer RNA (tRNA) molecules are approximately 80 nucleotides in length. Lineage: Bacteria; Pseudomonadati; Candidatus Cloacimonadota; Cloacimonadia (SeqCode); Cloacimonadales (SeqCode); Cloacimonadaceae (SeqCode). The record is from RNAcentral. RNAcentral also lists the same sequence under 1 other name.
GUGGGUGUAGUUCAAUCGGUAGAGCACCGGAUUGUGGUUCCGGGCGUUGUGGGUUCAAGUCCCAUCAUCCACCCCA